RNAcentral lists this ribosomal RNA (1446 nucleotides) under Triticum aestivum (bread wheat). RNAcentral's name for it is "partial small subunit ribosomal RNA". The record is from RNAcentral. Lineage: Eukaryota; Viridiplantae; Streptophyta; Magnoliopsida; Poales; Poaceae.
AUGCAUUUGAUUGUGCUCCCAGCUGAGGCUGCUGGGUCACCCGCCGGAACGCCGCCUGGAAAAAUGGCGUCCACCCUUCUCCCGACCUUAUUGCCGCCAGUUUCACGUGCCGCCGCCUUCCUCCUCCGAACCCCACCAAAACCCUUCCGCUAUCACCAUUCGCUUUUCCGCAGCCUCCUCGCGUCAGCUUCUUCCCCAUCAACCUCUCCUACUCCCCGCGCCCUCGUCACCAUGGCCUGUGCAGCUGUCCCCACCCGCCGGGAUCUCCUCAUGCUCGGCAUCGAGACCAGUUGCGACGACACUGCCGCAGCCGUGGUUAGAGGCGAUGGAGAGAUCCUUAGCCAAGCGAUUGCUUCCCAAUCAGAUUUGCUUGUGAAAUGGGGUGGUGUCGCUCCUAAGAUGGCUGAAGAAGCUCAUGCUCUUGCAAUUGAUCAGGUUGUUCAGAAAGCACUCGAUGACGCAAAUGUGUCCGAGAGUGAUCUUUCUGCUGUGGCCGUGACCAUUGGACCAGGACUUAGUCUAUGCCUUAGAGUUGGUGUUCACAAAGCUCGGAAAAUAGCAAAAGUAUUUGGCUUGCCUAUUGUUGGAGUUCACCAUAUGGAGGCACAUGCAUUAGUUUCCAGGCUAGUGAAUAAGGACCUUGAUUACCCAUUUUUAGCUCUUCUAAUUUCAGGAGGACACAAUCUUCUUGUUCUCGCUCAGAACCUUGGUGAGUAUGUUCAACUGGGAACUACAAUAGAUGAUGCAAUUGGUGAGGCAUAUGACAAGUCAGCAAGAUGGCUGGGUCUUGAUAUACAGAAAGGUGGUGGUCCUGCUCUUGAAGAGCUUGCCCUAGAAGGUGAUCCAAAUUCUAUUAAUUUCACAGUUCCGAUGCGACAACACAAAGAUUGCAAUUUCUCUUAUGCUGGUCUGAAGACUCCAGUUCGAUUGGCUAUUGAAUCCAGAAAUCUGUGCACAGAUGAUAUCCCCAUUUCUUCUGCAACAGAAGAAGACAGACAACUAAGGGCGAACAUUGCUGCCUCUUUUCAGCGGAUUGCUGUUCUACAUUUGGAGGAUAGAUGUCAGCGAGCAGUUGAAUGGGCAUUGAAGAUGAGACCUUCAAUUAAAAACUUUGUUGUUUCAGGUGGUGUUGCUUCUAACCAGUAUGUUAGGACCCGCUUGAAUCAUAUUGCUGAGAAGAAUGGCCUACAGCUCGUAUCCCCUCCCCCAAGUCUUUGUACUGACAAUGGUGUCAUGAUUGCUUGGACUGGAAUCGAGCACUUUGUUCCCGGUAGAUUUGAAGAUCCACCUCCCGCUGAUGAGCCUGAUGAUAUGCAGUAUGACUUGCGUCCAAGAUGGCCACUUGGUGAGGAAUAUUCAGAAGGAAGAAGUGUUUCACGAUCACUGAAAACGGCCAGGAUCCAUCCAUCACUUACAUCCAUGACACAGAGCUCUCUCCACAACUAG